RNAcentral lists this ribosomal RNA (864 nucleotides) under uncultured organism. RNAcentral's name for it is "bacterial SSU rRNA". It matches the Rfam family "Bacterial small subunit ribosomal RNA", at positions 624 to 1487 of the family's 1533-position model. The record is from RNAcentral.
CCUUCGAUACUGGCAAACUAGAUUGCCGGAGAGGAAACCGGAACUCUUGGUGUAACGGUGGAAUGUGUAGAUAUCAAGAGGAACACCGGUGCCGAAGNCGGCUUUCUGGACGCACACUGACGCUCAGGCGCGAAAGCGUGGGUAGCAAACAGGAUUAGAUACCCUGGUAGUCCACGCCAUAAACGAUGGGUGCUAGGUGUCGGGGGUAUCGACCCCUCCGGUGCCGCAGUUAACGCACUAAGUACCCCGCCUGGGGAUUAUGGUCGCAAGGCUGAAACUCAAAGGAAUUGACGGGGCCCCGCACAAGCGGUGGAGCAUGUGGUUUAAUUCGACGCAACGCGAAGAACCUUACCUGGGCUUGACAUGCUUGGGACAGCGCUGGAAACAGCGUCUCUCCUUCGGGAGCCCUUGCACAGGUGCUGCAUGGCUGUCGUCAGCUCGUGUCGUGAGAUGUUGGGUUAAGUCCCGCAACGAGCGCAACCCUCGUUACUAGUUGCCAUCAGUUCGGCUGGGCACUCUAGUGAGACUGCCGGUGAUAAACCGGAGGAAGGUGAGGAUGAUGUCAAGUCAUCAUGGCCCUUACGCCCAGGGCUACACACGUGCUACAAUGGUCGGCACAAAGGGUCGCUAAGCCGCGAGGUGGAGCUAAUCCCAAAAAGCCGGCCUCAGUUCGGAUUGGAGUCUGCAACCCGACUCCAUGAAGGCGGAAUCGCUAGUAAUCGCGGAUCAGCAUGCCGCGGUGAAUAUGUUCCCGGGGCUUGUACACACCGCCCGUCAUAUCACCCGAGUCGGGGAUACCCGAAGUCCGUGACCCAACCAUUUGGAGGGAGCGGCCGAAGGUGUGCCUGUAAGGGGGGUAAAGUC